GCAAGUCGAACGAACUCUGGUAUUGAUUGGUGCUUGCAUCAUGAUUUACAUUUGAGUGAGUGGCGAACUGGUGAGUAACACGUGGGAAACCUGCCCAGAAGCGGGGGAUAACACCUGGAAACAGAUGCUAAUACCGCAUAACAACUUGGACCGCAUGGUCCGAGUUUGAAAGAUGGCUUCGGCUAUCACUUUUGGAUGGUCCCGCGGCGUAUUAGCUAGAUGGUGGGGUAACGGCUCACCAUGGCAAUGAUACGUAGCCGACCUGAGAGGGUAAUCGGCCACAUUGGGACUGAGACACGGCCCAAACUCCUACGGGAGGCAGCAGUAGGGAAUCUUCCACAAUGGACGAAAGUCUGAUGGAGCAACGCCGCGUGAGUGAAGAAGGGUUUCGGCUCGUAAAACUCUGUUGUUAAAGAAGAACAUAUCUGAGAGUAACUGUUCAGGUAUUGACGGUAUUUAACCAGAAAGCCACGGCUAACUACGUGCCAGCAGCCGCGGUAAUACGUAGGUGGCAAGCGUUGUCCGGAUUUAUUGGGCGUAAAGCGAGCGCAGGCGGUUUUUUAAGUCUGAUGUGAAAGCCUUCGGCUCAACCGAAGAAGUGCAUCGGAAACUGGGAAACUUGAGUGCAGAAGAGGACAGUGGAACUCCAUGUGUAGCGGUGAAAUGCGUAGAUAUAUGGAAGAACACCAGUGGCGAAGGCGGCUGUCUGGUCUGUAACUGACGCUGAGGCUCGAAAGUAUGGGUAGCAAACAGGAUUAGAUACCCUGGUAGUCCAUACCGUAAACGAUGAAUGCUAAGUGUUGGAGGGUUUCCGCCCUUCAGUGCUGCAGCUAACGCAUUAAGCAUUCCGCCUGGGGAGUACGGCCGCAAGGCUGAAACUCAAAGGAAUUGACGGGGGCCCGCACAAGCGGUGGAGCAUGUGGUUUAAUUCGAAGCUACGCGAAGAACCUUACCAGGUCUUGACAUACUAUGCAAAUCUAAGAGAUUAGACGUUCCCUUCGGGGACAUGGAUACAGGUGGUGCAUGGUUGUCGUCAGCUCGUGUCGUGAGAUGUUGGGUUAAGUCCCGCAACGAGCGCAACCCUUAUUAUCAGUUGCCAGCAUUAAGUUGGGCACUCUGGUGAGACUGCCGGUGACAAACCGGAGGAAGGUGGGGAUGACGUCAAAUCAUCAUGCCCCUUAUGACCUGGGCUACACACGUGCUACAAUGGAUGGUACAACGAGUUGCGAACUCGCGAGAGUAAGCUAAUCUCUUAAAGCCAUUCUCAGUUCGGAUUGUAGGCUGCAACUCGCCUACAUGAAGUCGGAAUCGCUAGUAAUCGCGGAUCAGCAUGCCGCGGUGAAUACGUUCCCGGGCCUUGUACACACCGCCCGUCACACCAUGAGAGUUUGUAACACCCAAAGUCGGUGGGGUAACC
This 1417-nucleotide ribosomal RNA is filed under the name Lactiplantibacillus plantarum. Its description in RNAcentral is "bacterial SSU rRNA". It matches the Rfam family "Bacterial small subunit ribosomal RNA". The record is from RNAcentral. Lineage: Bacteria; Bacillati; Bacillota; Bacilli; Lactobacillales; Lactobacillaceae.